RNAcentral lists this ribosomal RNA (459 nucleotides) under uncultured bacterium. RNAcentral describes it as "partial 16S ribosomal RNA". It matches the Rfam family "Bacterial small subunit ribosomal RNA", at positions 339 to 795 of the family's 1533-position model. The record is from RNAcentral.
CUACGGGUGGCAGCAGUGAGGAAUAUUGGUCAAUGGGCGGAAGCCUGAACCAGCCAAGUAGCGUGCAGGAUGACGGCCCUACGGGUGGAAAACUGCGUUUAUACGGGAAUAACGCGCCUUACGUGUAGGGCUUUUCAUGUACCGUAUGAAUAAGGACCGGCUAAUUCCGUGCCAGCAGCCGCGGUAAUACGGAAGGUCCGGGCGUUGGCCGGAUUUGUGGGGUUUAAGGGGGGCGUAGGCCGCAUGUCAAGCGUGCUGUGAAAUGUCCGGGCUCAACCCGGGCCUUGCAGCGCGGACUGGCGUGCUUGAGUCCGCGGAAGGCAGGCGGAAUUCGUCGUGUAGCGGUGAAAUGCUUAGAUAUGACGAAGAACCCCGAUUGCGAAGGCAGCUUGCUGCAGCGGAACUGACGCUGAUGCUCGAAAGCGCGGGUAUCGAACAGGAUUAGAUACCCUGGUAGUC